GAUCUACAACCUAGCAAACUAGCCUCCUUCUUACUAGCAUUUUUCCAGGUCCUCUCGAACCAGCAUCUUCCAACCUGGUGCUCUCACUUCUCGGACUAGUACAGGUCCAAACCAAAGCCAAAGCUCCAAAAGUCUAAGGAUAAGUUCCUUCUCUAUGGAAGAAAGAGAGUGCCACAGCUAUUGUUUCAAAAGCUCGGAAAUUCCUUCUGGGAACAGCCAGAAGAUAGAAAGACCAGUGCCUGGCCUGCUACUGCUUCGGAUGGAUAAUACGACGUUACUACUCUCCUUCCUGCUUGCCAUUUCCUU
This 306-nucleotide long non-coding RNA is filed under the name Nicotiana benthamiana. RNAcentral describes it as "long non-coding RNA (NBEN_LNC015617)". Lineage: Eukaryota; Viridiplantae; Streptophyta; Magnoliopsida; Solanales; Solanaceae. The record is from RNAcentral.